GAAAUCAUGCUCUGUUUUAACAUGAUAUGUCGUCAUGUGUGCUUAAGCUGUUCUGACCAUAAUGACAUUAAGAAAUUGACGGUAGUAUCUUGAUGUUAGGGUCGAGUGAGAAACAGCUGGAGCUAGGUUUAUCAACAUUCAAGCUGCUUAUGAAUUGCUUUUAGAUGAAGAGAACAGAAGCCAAUGCGACAGGAAUAACUGAGUGAACCCAUUCAAAGCAUCUGAAGCAUGGAUAGAGUGCCUAAUGAAAAAAUGAAAAGCUUUUCAUCAGCAAGGUGAUAUGGCAAUAACAGCUUAGACUGAGGAACAGCAGCAUGAGAUGAAUAUCCAUGCAGAUCGUGUAUCAUUAUGCAACAUCCAUCAAACACUUCUCAUUAUUGUAUUCUGUUUAUUCCUUCAUUAAACUAUGUAUACCAAGUUUGAUUUGAAAUUAUUCAUUCUGGUGAGAUUCGUGUAACAUGUGCUAAUCAUACAGCUAAAGAAUUCAAAAGUUGUUGAAUUCUUUAACUGCAUGAUUAAAACAUGUUACACGAAUUUCUCCAUCAGAAUCAGUAAGUUCAAACCAAAUAAAAUCUGUAAAUUUCAACAAAGACAAUUGGUAUUUCUACUAUGUAAUGUUACAAAAUCAAACAUAAUCUCCACCAUGUAACAAUAAGUCCCGCAGCAAAGAGCUGGCACUUUUUCUAGUUGAUUUUGAUGAUUAAAAACAUGAUGUUAAACAAUUGGCCUCAAAUAAAGUUGUGCAUGUUUGAGGUCUUUUGGUAAUGCAUAAAACCAGUUUUGAGACCUGAGAGGCUAAAGUGAAAUGUACGACAUUGUACAAUAUGUAUCUGACAUGACCCGUCUCUGAUUUCACCCUAAAAUAUGAAGUGGCUCUGCAAGUCUUUGAUGUUUUUCUUUCUGUGUUUAACAGAUUCUUUACACUCUUGGUGGAUUAGAAAACAUACAGACGGCAAAAAAAUGCUACGCAUAUAGACUUGAUUGGGGGCAACAAUAUCAUAGCACUAUUUGGUAUUAACUUGUGUACUUCUGCCAUUGCACGACUUGCGAAAGGAAGGAACAAGGAAGACAAGGAGCCCCGGAGCAAUGGGAUUGUAGAUCCAAGUCUGUUAAGUAAGGUAUCGUAGUUUUGGUUUAUUUUACCAAGAAUGGGAUUGGUUGUUAAGUACUGACAAGAGUUGAAAGGUUGGUGCCACUCUCACUUUAGUGGUUGUUUGUCAAUGGUAUGAGGGUACAACUUUUCAGCUCUUAGACUAAAAAAUGGGUUACUAUUUGAAUUCAGGUGGCAGAGAAGCUGAGCCUGUUU
Long non-coding RNA from Rosa rugosa (rugosa rose), 1306 nucleotides. RefSeq lists it as uncharacterized. The transcript has 3 exons. The record is from RefSeq and is a predicted model, not a curated record. NCBI's taxonomy places the organism in Eukaryota, Viridiplantae, Streptophyta, Magnoliopsida, Rosales, Rosaceae.